AGAGUUUGAUCCUGGCUCAGAGCGAACGCUGGCGGCAGGCUUAACACAUGCAAGUCGAGCGGGCCCUUCGGGGUCAGCGGCAGACGGGUGAGUAACACGUGGGAACGUACCCUUUGGUUCGGAAUAACGCUGGGAAACUAGCGCUAAUACCGGAUACGCCCUUUUGGGGAAAGGCUUGCUGCCGAAGGAUCGGCCCGCGUCUGAUUAGCUAGUUGGUGGGGUAAUGGCCUACCAAGGCGACGAUCAGUAGCUGGUCUGAGAGGAUGAUCAGCCACACUGGGACUGAGACACGGCCCAGACUCCUACGGGAGGCAGCAGUGGGGAAUAUUGGACAAUGGGCGCAAGCCUGAUCCAGCCAUGCCGCGUGAGUGAUGAAGGCCUUAGGGUUGUAAAGCUCUUUUGUCCGGGACGAUAAUGACGGUACCGGAAGAAUAAGCCCCGGCUAACUUCGUGCCAGCAGCCGCGGUAAUACGAAGGGGGCUAGCGUUGCUCGGAAUCACUGGGCGUAAAGGGCGCGUAGGCGGCCAUUCAAGUCGGGGGUGAAAGCCUGUGGCUCAACCACAGAAUUGCCUUCGAUACUGUUUGGCUUGAGUUUGGUAGAGGUUGGUGGAACUGCGAGUGUAGAGGUGAAAUUCGUAGAUAUUCGCAAGAACACCAGUGGCGGAGGCGGCCAACUGGACCAAUACUGACGCUGAGGCGCGAAAGCGUGGGGAGCAAACAGGAUUAGAUACCCUAGUAGUCC
RNAcentral lists this ribosomal RNA (742 nucleotides) under uncultured bacterium. RNAcentral describes it as "bacterial SSU rRNA". It matches the Rfam family "Bacterial small subunit ribosomal RNA", at positions 8 to 796 of the family's 1533-position model. The record is from RNAcentral.